Molecule: long non-coding RNA, 1788 nt
Organism: Oreochromis niloticus (Nile tilapia)
Lineage: Eukaryota; Metazoa; Chordata; Actinopteri; Cichliformes; Cichlidae
Exons: 2
Source: RefSeq, a predicted model, not a curated record
AAAAAAAAAAAAAAAAAAGAGUGACAUUUGGAUUUAUCUGUGAGAAACUCUUUUCGCACAAGUAAGCUGAUCCAAAGCUGGACUGAACUCCACAUUAUUCAUCUUUAUAUAGAAUAAAAUUGCAUGUUUCAAACACAAGUUUUUCAGGUUUUGAGAGUUUGUUAAUAUCACUCCAUUUGUGGUUUUAAAUCUGAAUAGCCUUCGUUUUUCACACCAAUCUUCCAGUAACAUCAUUAUUAUGUAGUAAUCGGGACACAGCAUAAGUCAAAUGUACAAAUUUUUUAGUAAAAGCAAAAAAGCUUUUAAUAAAAGAGUAAAACAUAAAUGUUUAACACUUCACUUAAACAUUAACUAUAGUACCUCUUAAGGAACCUAUAGAAUAUUGUCACAUGGGGUGAAGAACAGCAUAAACUGUCUCUUCCCCUUUUCUAUCUGUGUGAUUCAGAACUAAGAUGGAGCAGAUCAGUGACUGUCUGUGCAGGUAUCAGAACUACAACUUUCUGGCCAGUAUACAUAGACUCCCUUCAGAGUUUUUAAAUAACAAACAGCAAUGUCUUACUUGUGUCAGGCACCAUGUGGGCUCAGCAGAUCAUCACUUCUAUCUAUGAGUUGGACGGGCAUAUGAAUGAAUAUUCUACCAACUCGCAGAAGAUGCCAUGGCUGGGUGCAUACACUCAUCAGCUCUCUCCACGGCUCUUCACAUCACAUCUCUCCCAGGUUCUCAUGCCUCUAGGACUGAAGGACAAGAAGGGAAUGGUCAGAGCUGUAUAGAUGCUCAAGCAGCCUGAAGAAAGAGCAGGUUUAGUGAUAUACCCACAUAGCAGACAGGCAGGCAGCUAACUGCAGCUAAUGGCUCCCCCAUGAAAACCUUUGGUGAAAGGUUAGUGACUGUUUGUUUUUAUGACUGGGACUUCCUGUGGAACUUUGUAGUUGCUGCUAGCUCUGUGCCUUUAAUAGGCACUGAUUUUGUUUGUGCUCACUUGACCGUGAGCACAAAGAAGAAAUAAGACUGGUUGAUGUCUCUACCAGACGUUUGAUUGACGCUGUGUCUUUUUCUUCAUUACCCUGUUUUAAUCAGGGCACUCAGCCCGUGGUGCACGCUAAUUUGUAGCUUCGGGAAAUAUUUUUCAGUGUUUGCUUUCAGAGAUUUCCUCACUAACUGUCCCCACCUUCUGGAACACUGUGACGAAUGUGGGGUGGAAAAUUACAUCACUGUGAUAGGGCCCCCAGUGUUCGUGCGCGUGCGGUGUUUUGACAGGGCUUUUGGUCAAGUGAAUUCUUGACCAAAAGCCCCCUCCCCGUGUUUCGAUCCAUCUGUGCUUUCCCUCAACCCUCAGUUGCACUAGCUUUCCGUUCCUGGUCCAGUGCACCAUUGCCUGCCGGACACCUUUGUCCCAAAGACUUUAGAGACUGCUAAGUUUGUUUUUGUGUGGCACGAUGCCCACAGGACACCACUGCGUCCGCUGUAUGACGGCCUGUUUAGGGUUAUCAAACUGGGCUUGAAGCAUUUUGUUUUGGACUUUGGGGGUCGUAGGGAGACUGUGUUUGUUGACAGGAUGGGAGGUGGCUCCACUCACACCCAGGGUUAGGGGAAGUGAGGGGGUGAAGGUUUUGGUGCUUUCUAUGUUCAGGUGUGUAAAGCAGUGAUUAAAGUUGGAGUGGAAUAUUCACAGUACAACAACAAAAAAGUGUGAAGCUUAAGUUGUUUGUUGUUUAAGACUUCUGUUUGUAAAUAACACACACACACCCCUCCCCCCAUGUUGUGUAGCUUUCUGGAUUUUAUACUUA